Long non-coding RNA from Haemorhous mexicanus (house finch), 10659 nucleotides. RefSeq lists it as uncharacterized. Lineage: Eukaryota; Metazoa; Chordata; Aves; Passeriformes; Fringillidae. The record is from RefSeq and is a predicted model, not a curated record. The transcript is spliced from 2 exons.
CCCAGACCUGCCGGGGCUCCCCUGCCGGCCCCGGGCUGCCCGCGCCGGCCAGGACCGGGCUAGAGCUUCAAGGGCAGCGUCAGCUGCUGAGUGUCUCCCGGCCCUGCGUUUUGCCAGACGUAUUUACUGGCUACACGGGAAGAAAAUAGGCUCCAGGAAGGGCUACGUCGUGUUUGCUGCUUCUGCAGAGUUCAUUCCACCCCUGGGAACUGCUCAGACCUCGCAGGAGGGGCCGGGCUGCUCCGUAGGGAAUUCAGGCGCUUUCCCUGCGCGGCGCGUGUGGGAGCGCUGAGCUCAGCUGGGAUGGCAGCAUGGGAGAUGUCUGGGAAACCCUAGGGAGUUCGGGUCACAGAUGGCAGCGGCCGCGUGUUAUCAUUCCAGACUGCACUCUGUGACCGGCUGACAAAUUGGAACAAGCUGUAAGAACCUCUCUGCUAGUGUAGUAAGGCUGUUUGCUAAUCGUACUUGUGGAUCAUUUUUUUAAAGGGUGCUACUGGCCUAAGUCAAUGCACCUCGUGCAAAAAAACAGAGUUGCAUAGGGUGCUCUGUGGGAUGCUUCUGCUGUAGUGAUGUAAACAAACUAACACAGAAUAUUAUGUGGGAAAAGGAAUAUGGAGUAACUUAAGUCCUGCAGCAACAGGUGGCAGAGCUGAGGGGAAGAAGAGAGUGCAUGUCCUGUCUCUCUGUCUUGCAUGUCUGUCAUAGCAAAAUCUUCGUCCUUUAGGGAUAGGGCUUUCUCUCACCAAGACAGCGGCAAAACACGCGGCGAAGGGAUCGCUGCCGUCGCAGGAGUUCGCUCUUGCUGGUCAUGCAGCAUGGAGCAGUUGUGCCCUGGGGCAGUCAGGAGGCGGUGAAAAGCGGAAAGAGCCUCAACAAAAAGCAAGCUCUUGCAGAACAUAUCCGAUAAUCAAAUCACAGUUCUUUCCCACCUUAAAGAUUGUUCUUUCCCCCCAGAAAAUAUACCUGAAAGAAAAUACUUAAGGGUACUGAGGCACUAAACCAGUGGCAAAGGAAAACAGAAAGAUGCUGUGUAUCGUUAAAAAAAGUUCACAGCGUCAAUCUAUGCAGGCAAAUUUGCCAAAAGGGGUAAGACUUGCUUAAUGAUUUAAGGCACAACAGCAUACUUGGCUACAAAAGAUUAAGGUCUUGGCCUUUCUCAUUGAAUCAAUAAACAUAAACUGAAAAUAGACAGAUUUAAUAUAAAUUUAUACUGAGCAGUUGAGAUAAAACUUGAACAGAAUAAAUGAGAAGGCAUUGUUAGGAAAAAAGGCUUGGGAAAUGGUAUCAGGAUUUAUUAGGGAAAUGAAGAAAGACAUAUUGUCUCAGAUUUAAAAAGGAAAUCUCUUAAAAAAUGAGGCCUAGCAGAAAGAAAGAAAGAAAGAAAGGGAACCUGCUAAUACAACAAUACUUUGUUUUCAUGGAAAAAGCAGCAAUGAAAAAGUUUUGAGAAAAAGAAAGGGCCAGGAGAAAAAGUUAAAAGAAAUGUCUUUGGUAAUGAUGGAAACUUGCUAUUAGAAAGAAAUUGAAGUUCUCCAGGUAAUAUAAACAUUUUAGAAAGUAAUAUCGAAGUAAGUUGACUAGCUUAAGAGAAACAAACAAAAAGGACAUGGGAUAGUAUUACUCAGAAGGAAGCUGAAAUGCAGGAGAUAAAUUGCAUUAAUUUUCACCACACAAAUUGUCACAAUCUGGAGAUCAACCCAAAUAAGACACAAAAAGAGGUAGCUUGCAGAAAAAUUGUGGAAAUUGUGGAAAAGGAUUAGGAAUAGAGAGUGGAAUCAGAGCAUAAGUAGAUAGCUGAACUGCUACAGGUGUUUCUGGAGACUUUUAUAUGGGAGGGAAGGAUGCCACACUGCUGUCCUAGGGAAUUGUGAGCUCAUUUUGCUAAGUGGAUGGCAGAUAAAGCUAGAACCCCAGACCCUGAGACUUUACCAUUUUAUCUUCUUGGUACGUGAAGAUACUUCAGAGAAACAUGAGACAUUCCUAAAUGUACUAUGGGCUGCACUUCCAGAAAAAGGACUGAGCAGGAAAACAGCUGAUACAUGAUGAUGUAUCUGCCCUGGCAGGGGAUGUCAGAAGAAAGGCCAAGAAAGUUAAGGAGGAAGACCCGAAACUCCCUUAUGGAGCAUUGAAAACCAAAGCUACUUACAGAAAAUGCAGAUUUUAUAUACACCUGAAAGAAAGGCAAAAGAUUGUGAUGUGAUUUCCUGGAAAGUUUACCAGCUAGAAGGGGCAACUGUGAUAAGGGCUGAGGUUCAGCCGCUCUUGUACAGCAGCACGUACACAGCUAUGAGGUAGGUUGUGUUACAGGAUGUCCUGCAGACCAGGAACAGCCUAAUAACUAUCCUGUACCAAGCUGGGCUUUCUAGGCCAUGACAGACCAGCAUUUUAUGUAAAGAAAGGAGGCAACUAAUUUCUUCAUCUACCCGAAGGAAAUGUGGAAUUUUUAAUGGGGUGUUUGACACCGUAACAGAAAAAAACCCCAAAACAAACCAUGAAUAAAAAGGAAGGAAAGCUUUUGUAGAAGGACAAAUGUAACAAUGUGGUGCAGUUAUGAGAAUAUAGACAGCUAAAGAAAAGGCAUUACAUAAAUAAAAUUAGAGAAAAACAGACUAAAAUCCCUGACCUUUCCAGGUUAACAAAGCAAUUCAGCCCCAUUUGCAAUCAGACUUAAAUAAUGGCAGUCAUUCUAACAAAAGUUAUCUUACAUUAGGAUACCUUCUCACACAAACUUAACACUUAGGUCUGACCUUGGCUUUCUGAAUAUGGACCAGUUUGUUUUUACUGUUUUUAUGACAUUCUUAACACUUCCAUUACAAUUAUUCCAUUUGCAUUUCAAAAAAUGUGCUAUGGAGGGGAAAACAAUAAUAUAAUUCCCAAUCAGUUCUGUCCCUGCAAGUUUAGCAAAAUGCAAGGGAGAGCACAUGGAACUUAUGAAACCCAAGGAACCUAUGGAACUUAGUCUGAAAGACAGAUAGAGAUAGGCAGGAUCUUCCAAACAUUUCCUGGUUUUUAUAUUAAUGGACUAAUAAACCAAUAAUGGGAGGAAGAAAAGGAUCAGCACAAAACUUUCAACAUAUUAGCUAAUAUGAUGCACUUGUCUGACAUAUAGUGUCUAUAAUUCAAAUGAGAUACUGGGGCUACAUUAUAUGAGUUCUGUCCCCUUCUUAGGUGAAUUAAGUUUUUAGCCAUAGUUAAUACAUGUUAGGGGGUUUGGUCUAGCUGUUUUUGGAAAACAACAGAACAAAAAAGCCACAUGGUUACUUCAGAGAGGUGUUUUCCUUUAGCUUCCUAGAGACAUACGCAAGAGAAGCCCUUGACUCUCUUCUGUAUGACUAGGUCCUGGUGGUUAACCUUGAUCAAAAACAUGGUAAAGUGAAACUACAGGAACUUUACCUGUUCUCCUGGUGAAGGUAAGGAGAUUUUUGUUAAGAGGUUUGAUUUCUGAAUGGCAGGUAACUGUGUCAGGCACGAGUCGAGGUAAUGUAAUACUUGGUGUUGAGAUAAAGUGCAGAGAUCCUGUUUGUAAACUAGCCAGUGGAAGAUCAAAUGACAAAGAAAACUGAGUAGCUAAAAUGCAUAGGAGGACUUUUAGAGGGUUCUGAGUCUCAACAUUGCAAUUAAAGAGCAUUGGAGUGGAAAAUGUUGUAAAUAACUCCUAUGACUUAGGCAAAAAUAUGUCACAUAACACCACCUUUCUAAUUUUGUUGGGAUAAUGGCAGGUUAAUAAAAAAGUAGAAGGGGACUGUAAAUAAUUAAGUAAGUAAGUAAAUAAAUAAAUAAAUAAAACCCAACUAAAUAACUAACUAUGGUAAAGUAGGGACCACCAUGUUAUGAAAUGGAAUUUGAAACUUAGACUCUGCUUACUAUAUCUGUGCAUGUUUUGUUCUCCCUUACUCUGUCCAGGUUAUAUGGAUUUAAGUUCAUUUACAGUGAUGUUUUUUAAAAAUUUAAUUACUGGUCUUCACAGUAAGGAUGAAUGAGUUAUUUACUGUUUUGAGAUAUUACAGGAGAUGUACUUAGGAUCUGAGAUCUGUCCAGUCCUCUGGGAUUUAGAUGGAUGAUCUCAUUAGGUUCAGAGCCACGCAGUAAGUCCAGAAAUAUACAGAUGCUAAGCAUAAUGCAAAAUCUUAAUUAUUGUUUGCAGUUAAUUAAAAUGCUAUUUUUGUUUGUUUUGCCUCCCUCUGGCAUCUUCAAGUCCUAAUUAAUUCUUAACUGUGGGAGGUGGGAUUAGGAUUGGCAGCAAAACACACCUCAAACAGCCCACCAGCACCAUAGGGCUGUACGUGCAGAAGUUCUGCCGAAGCAAAGAUCACAUUCUUGAGAAGUUAGAUAAAGGUCGCUAUUGUUCUUGCCGCCAAGAUUAUUUUUAUCGCAUUGUCAACAUAGUUGUUAAUGUGCAAACACGCAGGUGAGAUACAGAACACACCAAACUCAUAAAAAAGGCGGAGAUGUUGUAUGCACGUGCAAUCAGAGCACUGGAGAUGAUUUGCACAUAAAAAUGCUGAGGGGGAGCAAGUGUUCGCUUGACAGAGUAAGGAGCUGGCUGGCACUGUUCCUUGUGGUGAACUGCUUGGUGACAUUUAUGGCGCUGAUAAAUAAAAUUUGUGAGCAAAUAUCAUUAAUUGAUGCAGUUCAAGGAGUGGCUGUCUGGCACGUUUCUAUGGAGGUGGUAAUUCAGGUGCAUAACCAGAGCAACACUGAGGGGUUUUGGAUUUUGUUUUGUUUUGUUUUUUUCUAUAAUGUUGCAGUUGUUUCAGAGUACAAUGAGAUUUUUUGGCUUAGAAGUGCUGCUGUAAUUGGUUUCUGGGACUUUCUUGAUUUGACCUAAUUGGACAUUUUGAAAGGUUGCCAAAGUACAGGGUAGGAUUUUGCCAGUUUUCCAUCAAUGAUUAAUAAAGCUCAUUUGGCGGAUCAAUUAGAGGUUCAAAAAGAAGAUUUUGCACCAGAAUUGUUAUAAAACAAAUGAAUUCUAUUUUAUUAGUGGACAUUUUCAAUGUUGAAUGAUGAAAAACUUUGCUAUAGUGAACAGUAAAGGCACUUUUUUUUUUUUUUUUUUUAAUAAUUUCCUCCCUUCAGGUUAUUAUUAUGUUAUUUCAGUAAUUCUAUCAUCAGGGUGGGGAAGCACUUUAAUUCUGGCUUGUAGUGAUACUUUUGGCAAAAUUCGAAUUGUUGUUUUUAAAAAAUCAUUAGACUAUUAAAGAGUGGUUUAAACAGGUAAGAUUUCCUGAAAUGUUUAUUUCCUUUUCACAGUGCUUGAAGUUUAAGUAGCAGCUUUCUAAAAGUCUUUAGAAAAAACAAGUAACCGCUCUUGGUGUGUCUGAAGACCUAGUGAAUUUAAAGGCAUGAAGUGAUAUGUUUGGAGGAAGGAAAAGCUGGUAGUGUAUGCCAUCAUCAGUUUCUAAUCAUCCCAGCUCCUCCCCAAGGUCUCGUUUUCAUAAAGAUAAUUUAAAAGCAAGUGGUUCAGCCUGUCUCUGUGCAUUUAUAAUUUGUUUGUUUCCCUAGUGCACAAGUACAGAUUUGGUGGAUUGUUUUUUCUACAGUCAGAGGACUGACUAGGGUGAAUAAGUUAACAAGCAGGAGGCUCCUGCAUGUUGGAAUUAGCAACUUAUCUGUCUCAUCCAUUGCUUGUUUGUUCAUGUUUUGCUCAUUCAGAUGUAUCCUAAAGAAAUGAGAUACCCAGCUAUUACAGAAGUGCUAGUUUCUAAUUUGUUCCAGGAGUUCAUAGCCGUGGGUCUGAGCACAUCAGGAAGGACCUGUAGGUGUGUAGGUGUUUCCAUACCACUUCUCAUUGUAUUUGGGUCAUAAGCAAGUUUUUAAUCUUCAUGUUAUUGGGUUUCAGCUGACCGGGUAUCUAAAAAAAAGUGUAGCACUGCAAUGCCAUGCUAUGCUAUGCUAUGCUAUGCAUAGCUAUGCCAUGAGUUGCUAUAUUUAUUCUUUAGAAGUCAAGCAAGAGCUUUUACUGAGGCACUUCCCUCUGCAAAGCUUUAUGCACACCAGGUAACACUGCCACUCUGCUGCAGUGCUUGAAGGUCACUUGAAAAGCCAGAGUUUUGACUAAAGUGGGACUCUUCUUUCUUCUUCCUACAGAGGGAUUUUUCAAGCUGGCCUCCAAAGUACCUUCUGGGAUUCCUGACAGAUCAGGUUUUUUAGGGGAGGGAACUGCUUCUUUUGCAGACACUAUUAGCAUAAAUAUCGCAACAUGAAGCCCAUAAUCACACUCAGAGGACAUUUUCCUCUUGUAUGUCAGGCAAACUGAGUUUAAUUUGGCAUUUACUGAAAUAUGACUGUUGAAAAUCUACCAGCACUGCAUUUUACACUGAGCAGGUAUAUAUACUACACUGUGUGCUACGCUUGGGGCAAAAAAAUGGCAACCCAUUCUAAACUAAUAGAAUUAUAGCGCUAUCCAUUAAAGCAUUUCUGCUAGCACCAGGGUAAUAUUUCUGUUCCAGUUCUCUCAAGAGAAUUUAGGAACCAAAAUACUUCCAUGAAAACUCUGUGCAUAUUUCCAAAAUAAUCCAGAAAUCCAGCUAUGAAUGGAUUCAGGAUGAAGAUGGUAAUGUGAUCUCAUUUGUUGCGUGUGUUGGACCUUCUAAAAUAAAGCUUAGCAAAAUACUGCUAAAGCAACAGUGGAGAAUGAAUGGGAACAUUAUAGAGCAUUAUUUUGAAUGUUUUUACUUACUGAAAUGAGUAGAUGACCUCAUCCUCUCCAGAGUAGAGAUAGCAGGCUUCUACUCUCUGUUCUGAACUUAGUAGAGAGAUUGAAUCUCAAUUCCUAGAUUUUGUUAUUUUUACUCUAAGGUGGAGGUUGUUUCCCAGCAUGUCUAUGUUUCUUGCUCUCUUUUCCAUAGUAAUGAUUGCUUACGAAGAACAAGUUGGUUUAGAAUAGGACGAGCUGCACGAUCCCUCAAUUAAUACACCCACCCACCUGGUAGUUGAGCUCCAUAUGGUCUUGGAUUAGGAAAGAGAGAACUUGCAAAGCUCUUGCUUCUGUCAGGCCUCCAAAAUCAAGACUCUCCCCAGUGUGUUUUAGCUUUGCCUCAGAGUAACCCAGUUAUAAUUAUUCCAACUGAAGGAGCCUUUCCAAGCCCUAAUCUUUUAACUGAAACCGAUGUGGUUUGGGACAAGGGAUCUGGUUUCAAUAGGACAUCUACACAUCUUCCCCCUCCACCUUCUCUCCCAGCUGUGUUCACUCUUCGUUUGAUUCUUCUCAAAAGAGAUGUCCCUUGUCCACUGCUGAAAGGGAAGCCUUUGGUGCUGCCACAACCACUUCAAACUAGAGGCUUUACUGCAGGCUAGUUAAAUGCUAUUUCUUCUUGCCUGAUGGGCUGUCAUUGCUAGUGUGCUCCCUGACCAUCCCAUUUGCCAUGAUGGAAAAGCUACAGAUCUGAGCUACUGAAACCUGUCAUUUGUCAUCUACUUUUUGCAUUAAAAUUAAUUUAUUAAUUUCAAGUUGCUUCUGAUAUGUAUUUUUGGAAAAUACAAACUAAGGUCCACUGUCAUGAAAUUUGGAGUCAUGACUCAUUAAAAAAAUCAUCACAGAUGGCACUAGGACAAGAAUGGUCUUGAUGAUCUGUAUAGAGAAUAAGAAGAAUGAACUACUGGUUUUGUUUACUCCAGUAACCCAUCUAGCCCAGUUGCCCCUGGCUGAUGAGUAGAGGAUGCUUGCAAAAAGACUGGAAGAAAUAGAAAAAGUGUAGGAUUUCCUAACUUCUGGCAGUCAGAGGAUAUGGGAAUUUCCUAAACCAGAAAUUUCACUGGAUUGCAUCAUCAUGUUUAUUGGCCAUUGAUGGGCUUGUCGACCAUAAAUUGUCUGAUCUGUUUUGAACUUUCUUGAACCUCCACAUCAUCCUUUGAUAACAGUCCAAAUAGCCUUUUUAAGUAAAAGAGCUUUUGCAAUAAAAAGGAGAACAUACACAAAUUCCUGUUUAGUCUGGAAGCUGGCUUCUGUCUAGGAGAGCUGAGACCUAUUUUUCCCAAUACUUUCUUGCUGCAAUUUAGAAACAAAAUAAUUUUUUAGAAACAUAAAAUAUUUUUUUUUAAAUAAUUUAAUCUUACUGUUUUCUUUCAGUUCAGAUUUUUUUGCCUGUGUUCAUUUGGUUUUGUGGACUGAGCACUAAUUUCCUGUGUCAUGUGCAACCCUGCAUAACUUCAAAAAAAUUCCCUGCUGUGUUUUUUCAUGACAGAUCGAAAAUGGAUAUGAACUGUGUGUUGGAGGUUAGAGUGAAAUGGAUAUUUGCCCCAGACAAAGACUAGAGGAUGUUGGCCAAAUACCUUCAGUUAACACCAAAAUGUUUUGAAGUGUUUCAUGGCCUUUAGAGAAGAUUGGCCUCAGUUAGCAUUAAUAAUAAAUGGAAAUUAAUCUAAAGUCAUUGUAGUCACGCACUGUCCAUCAGUUUUGUUGUGUGUUUAAGCACUGCUUAUCCAUCAUUUAAAGAGGGACUCAACAGGAUGCUUUCCUGCUGUGCUGACUCACUCUGGUAGUCUAAAAAUGAAAAGGGGCAUGUAUGCUUCCUGAUUUUCACAUUCCUUUUAACACUUUUAAAACAAAAUGUUUUGGAUUCUCUUUGUCUGCCAAAAGGUGAAGUUUUCAUUUAAUCAGCAGACUGGAGUAAUUUUGAAACUGCUGUACUGUGAUUGUUUUCAUCUUUAAUCACCGUGUCCUUGUGUACUGUAGUACUCAGGAAGUAAGAGGCCUGGGAAAUUGCAAAUAAACCCCAUAUCUCUUUUAAGACCCUCCUUCAGAAAGUGAUUAGAGGGUCCCCUGCCCACCAGAUAAUGUGUGCUAGGUGGUCAGUGAUUCAGCUUAGCUCAUAUUUAAUUGCCCGUGCUCUCUGCCUGCUUGUGUACAAACAAAUUAAAAAUGGAACAGGUGAGGUGUGUAGUACUUCUGAGAAAAACACAAAGUCAUUUGCAUCAGAACUGAUGUGCCAAACAACCACUCUAAAAUCAAAGAUCUGUAGAGCAAAACAAACCAACCAGUAACAAGGAAAUCUGGUAGCUCAUGUCAGAUGCACAAUGUCCAUUACCCUUAGAAAGCCCAAAGAAACUAAAGCUCUCCCCUGCCUGCCCAGCCCUGAGGUGUGAAAGCCAGACAAAAAUUUCUUAGGGGCAAAAGUAAAUUGAGAGCAAUAAAGGAUAAAAAGCUGAAAUCCACCAAAGUACCAAGCUAAUGUUUUGUGUUAAAAUGCAAAAGAAAGAAUAUGGUUUCAUUGACAAGAGCCUUAUGCCCAAAAGGCGUACAGGUUCCCUUCCAGUUUAUCUCAGAGCUGGAUACAUCCUAGGCACACCUGGACCAGCUAUCAGGCAUUUGAUGAGGUCAGUGUUAGGUCACUUUAUGACUGAGGGGAAGUUUCUGGCUCCUGCAUUUGUGAACUAAGUCACAGGCUGAUGCAGUUGGAAAUUGUGUCUGUACAUGACCUGAACUUUGCUUCUCAGAGAGGAGGAAAAUGCUGUCAUCACUGUCCUGGUACAAACUAUGUGCUGCCUCCUCUGCUCCUCCCUCUCUCUUUAGUGCCUGCUCCGGGUCAGACAGCACAGAUACUGCAGGAUUUUGGAGGCUCUUUGACAUGUCCUGCAGUUGUACUGAACCCUUAUUCCAGGCAUAGGAAAAGCAUUUAUGUGAAUGCAUGGUAGUCACAGCACAUCCCUGAAACUCAAAGAGAAUAACAGGACCUUUCCUUGAGCCAGACAGGAGUGGUGUUUCAGGCACAGGGUGGGGGAGGCAUUGAUAGUGAAAGUUGCAGAGGGCUUAAGGUCCUGGAUUUCCCAAAUCUGGGGACUUACAGUUCAUAUGCAAGUAUCAUCUUCUGCCUAAGCAGAUUGAAGGGAAACUGUGGUCAUAUGAGGACCCAGGAGCAUCUGUCCUCAUGCAAAGCAGGUGCCUAGAGGAACACUUCAAAAUACUUUGACAUAUCAAUUCCAAAAGAUGCAGGGAAUUGGAAUCAGAAUAUCAGAGGAAGCCGUACCUCUCCAGUAUCCACAAAUAUUUGCUCUUGCCAUCAGUGAACGGUGUUCUGUGUCAGUUUCAUUCGAUGGGGAUGAUGACACAUUUUACGGCUCCCAUUCUCACCGUCACAUGGCUUUGUGUCCCUGCAUUUUAGUCAUUUCAGAGCAAUGCAUCACCACCCCACUGGCUCAUGCUGCGCUCUGUGUUUAGCAGCACAUAUUUAUGACAUGGGGAGUGAAGAAUGAAGUCUAACUCAAGUCCUUAACUAACCCGUAAGCAAGGGAUUAACUGCCUACUGCAAUCUUUUACUAAGUAUUAAUCACUUAACAUUAUUUUCAUUUUUUUGAAAUUUUUUUGCUUCCUUAGUAUGUCAACACACAACUGGGUUUGAAAUCACAAUGUUUGAGGGACUGUUGAUACACUGCUGUCGUUAGCCUGACAAGGGAAGGAAGAAGUACAUCUGGAUGGGCUACAGCUAUCAAGGUUUGCUCUUGCUUUACAAACCUGUCUUCCUGGCUGUGGUAGAGUUAAAAAAAUAAUUACAAGUUUUUCAAAGGAUCACCCACAUACACAUGGUAUGAGAGCUCUUUUCUUUGUUGGUUUCAUUUUAUUUGUACAUGACUCACUCUUGGCAAAAUGACUGAGCCUCAUGAGCCUGUAAAAAUUCUGUUUGGAUUAAAUGAUUUGCAUUAAAUGAUUUAUAACUGCAAGAA